GCUAGGAAGAGGAAGAAAGAGAGGGCCUAAGAGCAAUGGGAAUGAGAACAUAGAGGAAAAACUAAUCGGUUCUUCACCUCUUGUGUUGAGUUAUAAAUCCUGCUUGGUAUUUCCCAAUGCCUCUCAUUCCUAUCGUUCUUAAGCACCUCCUUCCUCUUUCUUUUUGUU
RNAcentral lists this microRNA precursor (168 nucleotides) under Hordeum vulgare. RNAcentral's name for it is "microRNA MIR2118". It matches the Rfam family "MIR2118 microRNA precursor family". RNAcentral also lists the same sequence under 1 other name. The record is from RNAcentral. Lineage: Eukaryota; Viridiplantae; Streptophyta; Magnoliopsida; Poales; Poaceae.